GAUGAACGCUGGCGGCGUGCCUAAUACAUGCAAGUCGAGCGAACAGACGAGGAGCUUGCUCCUCUGACGUUAGCGGCGGACGGGUGAGUAACACGUGGAUAACCUACCUAUAAUACUGGGAUAACCUCGGGACACCGGAGCUAAUACCGGAUAAUAUAUUGAACCGCAUGGUUCAAUAGAGAAAGACGGCUUUGCUGUCACUUAUAGAUGGAUCCGCGCCGCAUUAGCUAGUUGGUAAGGUAACGGCUUACCAAGGCGACGAUGCGUAGCCGACCUGAGAGGGUGAUCGGCCACACUGGAACUGAGACACGGUCCAGACUCCUACGGGAGGCAGCAGUAGGGAAUCUUCCGCAAUGGGCGAAAGCCUGACGGAGCAACGCCGCGUGAGUGAUGAAGGUCUUCGGAUCGUAAAACUCUGUUAUUAGGGAAGAACAAAUGUGUAAGUAACUAUGCACGUCUUGACGGUACCUAAUCAGAAAGCCACGGCUAACUACGUG
RNAcentral lists this ribosomal RNA (497 nucleotides) under uncultured bacterium. Its description in RNAcentral is "partial 16S ribosomal RNA". It matches the Rfam family "Bacterial small subunit ribosomal RNA", at positions 28 to 507 of the family's 1533-position model. The record is from RNAcentral.